RNAcentral lists this ribosomal RNA (1418 nucleotides) under Triticum aestivum (bread wheat). RNAcentral describes it as "partial small subunit ribosomal RNA". The record is from RNAcentral. Lineage: Eukaryota; Viridiplantae; Streptophyta; Magnoliopsida; Poales; Poaceae.
UUCUCCUCCCUCCUUUUCUUUCUUUCUUUCUUUCUUUCUUUCUUUCCCUUACACCCACCACUCGCAGGGGCCACGCAGACGGUGGUGCGUAGGUAGGUAGGAACUCAAACCAGGCCAGUGACCACACCGACACCGACACCGCAGUGCGUUCGGAUGGUUUUUCGUUCGUCUCGAACCCCUAAAGGAGGAGAAGGAGAAGAGGGAGACGACUUGGAAGGAAGGAAGGAAGGAACAGCGGGAGACGUAGGAGAGUCGUAGACAGAAGAAGGAAAAGAAGAAGAAGAAGAAGAAGAAGAAGCGACGCUCGUGCCCCUAGACUAGACUUUUCCGAAGGCUCCGACGAGUAUGUUCAGUUCACCUAGGUAGAACCCUGGACAGCGCAGCACGACUAGCCGGCUGGAGGUACUACUUACACGAGAGGUCGCCGGUGGGCGUCUCGGACGCGUAGGUAGCGGUGGCGGUGGUGGUGGUGGUGCUGCACAGUAGUACAGGUGCGGCCUCGCCGAGUCCGGUACAGCGUCAAUUGGGAGUAGGAUCGUACUGGUCCUCCGAAAGAAGAUCGAGGAAGGCGGCUCCGCGGCAGUCCCGGCAGCGGCUGCUGCCGCCGCUUAGGUCGUCGCCGUUUCUGCUGCUGCCGCUGCUGCUGCUGGUUCUCUUCUUCGCUUCUUUUCUGCUGCUCCUCCCCUGCAGCAGCCGCAGCAGCUCCGCCUUGGCCCUCCUCGACCUCGCCGACCACCCCCGCGGGCUGCUGCUGCCGAAGUCGCCGGAGCUGGACCGGUGCGAGUAGGCCUUCGCGAUGCCGGCCUCGAUGCUGCACUGCGAGUAGGCCUUCGUCAAGUACCCCGCCUCGGACGACCGCUACUUGCACUACACCUUCAUGGCCCUCGUCGCGAGGAAGGGCGACUGCCUCCUCCUCAUGGACGAGGCGGAGCUGCUGCACCGGUUGUGCGAGGCGAGGACCCCGCGGCAGCGGGUGCAGGCGUUGAGGGAGCUCUGGUGGUUCCUGGCGGGGGCGUAGCCGUUCCGGCAGUCGUAGAAGUAGCUGCAGCUGAGGCGGCCGCCGCCGUUGGCGAGGCUGCUUACCUAGAUGUUCAUCAGUUAUUGAACAGUGGUAAGUCGUUGCGAUCGACGCUCGCAUACAGAGGCUCUAAGUAUUUUUAGGGAAUCGACUCGUCAAGUUCCCGUUCUAUAUGCUGAACACAUAUUGCGAACCAAUAAGGGUGAAUCGUCAUAGAUUAACUGGUGUCGUUUUAUAUGAAUCGGUCCCGGUCCGUCACCGCUAAGGUACACAUUCGACACCCCAGUGGACUGGGGUGUCGGAAAACCUAAAGUUCGUAUAAAGAUAAUUAUAAACACGUUUUUUAAUGUUGUAAAAUCUCUCAAAUCACGUAAACUUGGGUGUCGAAAAACCACGACCG